CAAACAUGGAUCCACACAAUAUUGUGGAGCGCGCCCAAGUAGACUCUGACAUGUGGUGUAGGAUUAUCUCUAAUACUGCACAGGGAGUCUGUUUACAAGCUGUAGUAAGACUUCACACUUCUGAGGGACUUUACGUGCUUCGAGUUUUCUGGUGGCGUCUGCCAGAGCCGCAAGACUUCCUCUGGCGCAACCAUGUGCCUUGAUUAACUUCGAGAAUGUAUCCAGUUCCACAAUCGACAUACCGGCACGGACGCACCCUGGACUGCACUCGCUGACCUGUGAUGCCGGCGUGUAUUCGCCAACUUCAUUAAUAUGAAAAGGUGGUCGAAGGGAGCAAAGGUGUGAAUGUGAGUGUGAACAGCUGUUCAUCUACAAACAGACGACCAGUCCAGAGUGUACUCCAACUGUUGCCCAAAGUCACCUAUGGAGAAACCACCGCAUACGUGACGUCACCGUUCUCAGUAGGUCGUCGGUCCUGUUUCCACGGGACACUGAGCCGUAUGUCUGAAUGCCAAUGGCCGGCGGGAGACCAACAGCGGCUUUCCAGGUGUCAGGUGCCCGAGCCCGUUGACCCAUCCGGGCAUCGCUGGUCUUCCUGUCCAAUCUACCUGUCGCUCCUGCCAAUGACAAGGCAGGCAGAAAUGGAUCCCCAAAACACAGCGGCGUACUCACAAUGGUAGCUGGAAUUCACAAGCGAGGAGAGGCUUAUCUCCGCCGAGCAGAUUCCAUUUCCCUUACGUGAGAGUUGACACAAACCUGUAUUCUGUUUUCUUGUGCUCAAUCUCAAUAAACGUAUAUUCGCUGACUUAACGGCCUUUCGCGGCAAACCGCGUGCAUGCAUCGGCUCAAAACUAUGUUAACGCGUACAACCCUACACCGAAGCAAUCUGCAAAAAAUCUAAAACGACUCUUUCCUGGCGCUCGAGCCUGUGAGAAAAUAUGAAACAAAUAAAUCUCCCGCUUGACACGUUUAUCGGAACCGGCCGCCUCGACUAAUACGUUAAGCCAUCUGAGUUAAAUGUCAGCAGAAAUUAAACGACAUAUUUUCUUAUCCGAGGUUCCCGUUGGGAGACAUUGACAAUUCCUUUCCGAAAGACCGAUGCAGUUUCAUUGUCACUGAAAAAGAGCAGCCUCCCUGGUAAGGUCUAUUCAGGGGUGCUGGAGAGGAGGGUCCGUCGGGAAGUCGAAUCUCAGAUUCAGGAGGAGCAGUGUGGUUUUCGUCCUGGCCGUGGAAUAGUGGACCAGCUCUACACCCUCGGCAGGGUCCUCGAGGGUGCAUGGGAGUUCGCCCAACCAGUCUACAUGUGUUUUGUGGACUUGGAGAAGGCGUUCGACCGUGUCCCUCGGGGAGUCCUGUGGAGAGUGCUUCGGGAGUAUGGGGUACCGAACCCCCUGAUACGGGCUGUUCGGUCCCUGUACGACCGGAGUCAGAGUUUGGUCCCCAUAUCCGGCAGUAAGUGGGACUCCUUCCCGGUGAGGGUUGGACUCCGCCAAGGCUGCCCUUUGUCGCCG
This is a long non-coding RNA of Phyllopteryx taeniolatus (common seadragon), 1511 nucleotides long. RefSeq lists it as uncharacterized. The record is from RefSeq and is a predicted model, not a curated record. Lineage: Eukaryota; Metazoa; Chordata; Actinopteri; Syngnathiformes; Syngnathidae. The transcript is spliced from 4 exons.